CAAAAAUAUGGGCUUUAGUCAACAUUUUGUCGAAGAUGUUAUAACAGUUUCUACUUCACUACACUUAAACGCAUCGAUUCAUGUUAAAACGGCUUUUGUCACCCAUAUAUAACCAUAUGUAUAGAACUUGCAGACAAUUUGUCAGAGUCAUGUAAAAAGGACUUUAGUCACGGGCUUAAAUCAUUUUAGCGCAAAACCCUUA
Cinara cedri is the source of this 202-nucleotide non-coding RNA. The record is from the annotation of a GenBank genome assembly. Lineage: Eukaryota; Metazoa; Arthropoda; Insecta; Hemiptera; Aphididae.